GGGGAAUUUUGGACAAUGGGGGCAACCCUGAUCCAGCCAUGCCGCGUGAGUGAAGAAGGCCUUCGGGUUGUAAAGCUCUUUCGGCGGGGAAGAAAUGGCAACGGCUAAUAUCCGUUGUUGAUGACGGUACCCGCAUAAGAAGCACCGGCUAACUACGUGCCAGCAGCCGCGGUAAUACGAAGGGGGCUAGCGUUGCUCGGAAUCACUGGGCGUAAAGCGCACGUAGGCGGAUCGUUAAGUCAGGGGUGAAAUCCUGGGGCUCAACCUCAGAACUGCCCUUGAUACUGGCGAUCUCGAGUUCGAGAGAGGUUGGUGGAACUCCGAGUGUAGAGGUGAAAUUCGUAGAUAUUCGGAAGAACACCAGUGGCGAAGGCGGCCAACUGGCUCGAUACUGACGCUGAGGUGCGAAAGCGUGGGGAGCAAACA
Molecule: ribosomal RNA, 426 nt
Filed under: uncultured Xanthobacteraceae bacterium
Lineage: Bacteria; Pseudomonadati; Pseudomonadota; Alphaproteobacteria; Hyphomicrobiales; Xanthobacteraceae
Description: bacterial SSU rRNA
Rfam family: Bacterial small subunit ribosomal RNA
Source: RNAcentral